This 468-nucleotide ribosomal RNA is filed under the name uncultured bacterium. RNAcentral's name for it is "partial 16S ribosomal RNA". It matches the Rfam family "Bacterial small subunit ribosomal RNA", at positions 28 to 507 of the family's 1533-position model. The record is from RNAcentral.
GACGAACGCUGGCGGCGUGCUUAACACAUGCAAGUCGAACGGAAAGGCCCUGCUUUUGUGGGGUGCUCGAGUGGCGAACGGGUGAGUAACACGUGAGUAACCUGCCCUUGACUUUGGGAUAACUUCAGGAAACUGGGGCUAAUACCGGAUAGGAGCUCCUGCUGCACGGUGGGGGUUGGAAAGUUUCGGCGGUUGGGGAUGGACUCGCGGCUUAUCAGCUUGUUGGUGGGGUAGUGGCUUACCAAGGCUUUGACGGGUAGCCGGCCUGAGAGGGUGACCGGCGACAUUGGGACUGAGAUACGGCCCAGACUCCUACGGGAGGCAGCAGUGGGGAGUAUUGCACAAUGGGCGGAAGCCUGAUGCAGCAACGCCGCGUGCGGGAUGACGGCCUUCGGGUUGUAAACCGCUUUCGCCUGUGACGAAGCGUGAGUGACGGUAAUGGGUAAAGAAGCACCGGCUAACUACGUG